Small nucleolar RNA from Otolemur garnettii (small-eared galago), 94 nucleotides. NCBI's taxonomy places the organism in Eukaryota, Metazoa, Chordata, Mammalia, Primates, Galagidae. The record is from Ensembl.
AUCCUUUUGUAGUUCAUAAGUGUGAUGAUUGGGUCUUCACACGCAUGCGUGAGAUGUGCCUCCCACAAAUUUGUGGCACAUUACCAGUCUGACA